Molecule: ribosomal RNA, 497 nt
Filed under: uncultured bacterium
Lineage: Bacteria
Description: partial 16S ribosomal RNA
Rfam family: Bacterial small subunit ribosomal RNA
Source: RNAcentral
GAUGAACGCUGGCGGCGUGCCUAAUACAUGCAAGUCGAGCGAACAGACGAGGAGCUUGCUCCUCUGACGUUAGAGGCGGACGGGUGAGUAACACGUGGAUAACCUACCUAUAAAAAUGGGAUAACUUCGGGAAACCGGAGCUAAUACCGGAUAAUAUAUUGAACCGCAUGGUUCAAUAGUGAAAGACGGUUUUGCUGUCACUUAUAGAUGGAUCCGCGCCGCAUUAGCUAGUUGGUAAGGUAAAGGCUUACCAAGGCAACGAUGCGUAGCCGACCUGAGAGGGUGACCGGCCACACUGGAACUGAGACACGGUCCAGACUCCUACGGGAGGCAGCAGUAGGGAAUCUUCCGCAAUGGGCGAAAGCCUGACGGAGCAACGCCGCGUGAGUGAUGAAGGUCUUCGGAUCGUAAAACUCUGUUAUUAGGGAAGAACAAAUGUGUAAGUAACUAUGCACGUCUUGACGGUACCUAAUCAGAAAGCCACGGCUAACUACGUG